AUUGAACGCUGGCGGCAGGCCUAACACAUGCAAGUCGAGCGGAUGAAGGGAGCUUGCUCCUGGAUUCAGCGGCGGACGGGUGAGUAAUGCCUAGGAAUCUGCCUGGUAGUGGGGGAUAACGUCCGGAAACGGGCGCUAAUACCGCAUACGUCCUGAGGGAGAAAGUGGGGGAUCUUCGGACCUCACGCUAUCAGAUGAGCCUAGGUCGGAUUAGCUAGUUGGUGGGGUAAAGGCCUACCAAGGCGACGAUCCGUAACUGGUCUGAGAGGAUGAUCAGUCACACUGGAACUGAGACACGGUCCAGACUCCUACGGGAGGAAGCAGUGGGGAAUAUUGGACAAUGGGCGAAAGCCUGAUCCAGCCAUGCCGCGUGUGUGAAGAAGGUCUUCGGAUUGUAAAGCACUUUAAGUUGGGAGGAAGGGCAGUAAGUUAAUACCUUGCUGUUUUGACGUUACCAACAGAAUAAGCACGGGCUAACUUCGUG
Molecule: ribosomal RNA, 484 nt
Filed under: uncultured bacterium
Lineage: Bacteria
Description: partial 16S ribosomal RNA
Rfam family: Bacterial small subunit ribosomal RNA
Source: RNAcentral